AGAGUUUGAUCCUGGCUCAGAUUGAACGCUGGCGGCAGGCUUAACACAUGCAAGUCGAGCGGGGUGAUGUAGCUUGCUACAUUACCUAGCGGCGGACGGGUGAGUAAUGCUUAGGAAUCUGCCUAUUAGUGGGGGACAACAUUCCGAAAGGAAUGCUAAUACCGCAUACGCCCUACGGGGGAAAGCAGGGGAUCUUCGGACCUUGCGCUAAUAGAUGAGCCUAAGUCAGAUUAGCUAGUUGGUGGGGUAAAGGCCUACCAAGGCGACGAUCUGUAGCGGGUCUGAGAGGAUGAUCCGCCACACUGGGACUGAGACACGGCCCAGACUCCUACGGAAGGCAGCAGUGGGGAAUAUUGGACAAUGGGCGAAAGCCUGAUCCAGCCAUGCCGCGUGUGUGAAGAAGGCCUUUUGGUUGUAAAGCACUUUAAGCGAGGAGGAGGCUACCGAGAUUAAUACUCUUGGAUAGUGGACGUUACUCGCAGAAUAAGCACCGGCUAACUCUGUGCCAGCAGCCGCGGUAAUACAGAGGGUGCGCGCGUUAAUCGGAUUUACUGGGCGUAAAGCGUGCGUAGGCGGCUUUUUAAGUCGGAUGUGAAAUCCCUGAGCUUAACUUAGGAAUUGCAUUCGAUACUGGGAAGCUAGAGUAUGGGAGAGGAUGGUAGAAUUCCAGGUGUAGCGGUGAAAUGCGUAGAGAUCUGGAGGGAUACCGAUGGCGAAGGCAGCCAUCUGGCCUAAUACUGACGCUGAGGUACGAAAGCAUGGGGAGCAAACAGGAUUAGAUACCCUGGUAGUCCAUGCCGUAAACGAUGUCUACUAGCCGUUGGGGCCUUUGAGGCUUUAGUGGCGCAGCUAACGCGAUAAGUAGACCGCCUGGGGAGUACGGUCGCAAGACUAAAACUCAAAUGAAUUGACGGGGGCCCGCACAAGCGGUGGAGCAUGUGGUUUAAUUCGAUGCAACGCGAAGAACCUUACCUGGUCUUGACAUAGUAAGAACUUUCCAGAGAUGGAUUGGUGCCUUCGGGAACUUACAUACAGGUGCUGCAUGGCUGUCGUCAGCUCGUGUCGUGAGAUGUUGGGUUAAGUCCCGCAACGAGCGCAACCC
RNAcentral lists this ribosomal RNA (1102 nucleotides) under uncultured bacterium. RNAcentral describes it as "bacterial SSU rRNA". It matches the Rfam family "Bacterial small subunit ribosomal RNA", at positions 8 to 1104 of the family's 1533-position model. The record is from RNAcentral.